RNAcentral lists this ribosomal RNA (253 nucleotides) under uncultured bacterium. Its description in RNAcentral is "partial 16S ribosomal RNA". It matches the Rfam family "Bacterial small subunit ribosomal RNA", at positions 524 to 776 of the family's 1533-position model. The record is from RNAcentral.
UACGUAGGGUCCGAGCGUUGUCCGGAAUUAUUGGGCGUAAAGGGCUCGUAGGCGGUUUGUCGCGUCGGGAGUGAAAACUUCGGGCUUAACUCGGAGCUUGCUUUCGAUACGGGCAGACUUGAGGCAUUCAGGGGAGAACGGAAUUUCUGGUGUAGCGGUGAAAUGCGCAGAUAUCAGAAGGAACACCGGUGGCGAAGGCGGUUCUCUGGGAAUGUUCUGACGCUGAGGAGCGAAAGUGUGGGGAGCGAACAGG